This 505-nucleotide ribosomal RNA is filed under the name uncultured bacterium. RNAcentral's name for it is "partial 16S ribosomal RNA". It matches the Rfam family "Bacterial small subunit ribosomal RNA", at positions 28 to 507 of the family's 1533-position model. The record is from RNAcentral.
GACGAACGCUGGCGGCGUGCCUAAUACAUGCAAGUAGAACGCACAGUUUAUACCGUAGCUUGCUACACCAUAGACUGUGAGUUGCGAACGGGUGAGUAACGCGUAGGUAACCUGCCUGGUAGCGGGGGAUAACUAUUGGAAACGAUAGCUAAUACCGCAUAAUAUUGAUUAUUGCAUGAUAAUUGAUUGAAAGAUGCUAUUGCAUCACUACCAGAUGGACCUGCGUUGUAUUAGCUAGUAGGUGAGGUAACGGCUCACCUAGGCGACGAUACAUAGCCGACCUGGGAGGGUGAUCGGCCACACUGGGACUGAGACACGGCCCAGACUCCUACGGGAGGCAGCAGUAGGGAAUCUUCGGCAAUGGACGAAAGUCUGACCGGGCAACGCCGCGUGAGUGAAGAAGGUUUUCGGAUCGUAAAGCUCUGUUGUAAGAGAAGAACGGGUGUGAGAGUGGAAAGUUCACACUGUGACGGUAUCUUACCAGAAAGGGACGGCUAACUACGUG